UGAGUAACCUGCCCUUAACUCUGGGAUAAGCCUGGGAAACUGGGUCUAAUACCGGAUAUGACUCCUCAUCGCAUGGGUGGGGGGGUGGAUAGCUUUAUUGUGGUUUUGGAUGGACUCGCGGCCUAUCAGCUUGUUGGUGAGGUAAUGGCUCACCAAGGCGACGACGGGUAGCCGGCCUGAGAGGGUGACCGGCCACACUGGGACUGAGACACGGCCCAGACCUCCGUACGGGGAGGCAG
This 239-nucleotide ribosomal RNA is filed under the name uncultured bacterium. Its description in RNAcentral is "partial 16S ribosomal RNA". It matches the Rfam family "Bacterial small subunit ribosomal RNA", at positions 118 to 351 of the family's 1533-position model. The record is from RNAcentral.